UGGGGUGUAGCUCAAUUGGCGGAGCACCCGGCUGUUAACCGGGAGGUUGGAGGUUCGAAUCCUCCCGCCCCAG
Non-coding RNA from Gemmatimonadetes bacterium 13_1_40CM_4_69_5, 73 nucleotides. NCBI's taxonomy places the organism in Bacteria, Pseudomonadati, Gemmatimonadota. The record is from Rfam.